Long non-coding RNA from Oxyura jamaicensis (ruddy duck), 1155 nucleotides. RefSeq lists it as uncharacterized. The record is from RefSeq and is a predicted model, not a curated record. Lineage: Eukaryota; Metazoa; Chordata; Aves; Anseriformes; Anatidae. The transcript has 8 exons.
CUAGGAAGGCUGCUGAGUGAAACUCCUGCCCCUUUACAACCACUUGUAACCUGGAGUAUGACAGAAAACAUUCUGCUGCAAAUCUGUGUGGAGUGGUUGCCACAGGGAGGGAGGUGGGGAGCUCUCAGAGGAAGCCUGAAACUAGGCAUCACCCAGAUGUCCUGAAUGAAUCCAAGCCAUGUGUUGUGGACUGAAGAUCACUGAUAAAAUGAAGGUCAACAAUUUAACAGCUUCUUGCAGAACAGAUUUUGAGGAACCUUUGAAACAUCUGCUGGCAAAAUCUGAUGAGAAGACAGUAGCGUGCUUGAAACAGAAAUUCCAAGAAUGAAACUGUAGCCAUUUCCAAGAGAUGAUAAGAAGAUGCAGCUCUCCGCAGGGAGGAACAAAGGCUGUCUGUCAUGGUAUAGUAGAAGAUAAGAAUGAAGAGGAGAGUUGCUCCUCCAGCAAGGCACACAAGGAGUGCUGCUAGAGAGAAGGAGCCAAAAUCAAGAACUGUGGAUUUGGAGGAAUGGACACUGAGAACACCCGUCCCACACUCCAGUGCUGUUUGAGAUAUGGUGAAGCUGUGCCAGUGACAACCACAAGAAAAGCUCUAUGCUCAGUUGGUUUCAGAGGCUGUCUACAUCCAGAGAGAGGACUCUGGGGUGCCACAGCUCUUGUUUGAAACUUAAAGCAAUGAUGUGGCAUUCAGUGCAGCUAACGAUGGGCAGCCCGACCGUGCCAACUGCUAUGUUAAAAGGUAAUGGAAGAAAGAAAACAAACACCUGCGGAAGCUGUUCCAUAUGUAGCAGAGGAAGAGCAAAGGGCAUAAAAGUAAUACGGUAAGCUGCCCCACAGGUCACCCGUUAAGUGCCAUAAAGAUGGGCAGUCUGGAUGUUUCCCAGCUCCCACAGCAGUAGCAUGGACCACGAGUUUGCACCAGGAAGUAUCCAGCUCCCUCCUUGUGCAGCUGGCUCCUGGCACAGCACCAAGCCCAGAGACUGGUGUGGGGUACCCGAAGCAGGCUGUGCUUUCCUGGCCAGGUCUUCUCCAUCCCCCGAUGCUGCUCCAUGCUCUGCAGAGCCUGCUCAGGACCUUUCACUGCUGACCGAAGCAGUAUCGGAGCCGUGAAAGAGAUCAGCUGGCUCUUCACGCUGUACAGCUGUUUCUUUAUCC